RNAcentral lists this long non-coding RNA (1133 nucleotides) under Homo sapiens (human). RNAcentral describes it as "HSALNT0306240". Lineage: Eukaryota; Metazoa; Chordata; Mammalia; Primates; Hominidae. The record is from RNAcentral.
AGACCUAUGAAGGUCGAAGGGGAAGAAAAGCUGUAUCGAUUGUUGAGAUCUGGCGACUUGUUUAAAUUUCAUCAGCCUCACUUCUAUGAACUCUCAGAGCUGAUUACCAACUCCUACCACUGUUAACCCUCAUCCAGGAACAAGCUUAUGUCUUUAACAUUCUGAGUGGGCUUCAGCAUCCUUGCAUAUGUUCAAUUCUUAAAAACCUGUUGAAAUAAAAGAUCAGGAGACAUAGGAAGGAUGCCAGAAGAGAGCGUGGCCUCACGUGUACCAGCUCUCUGCUCUCCUUUGCCUUGGGACGUUCCAUCCCUGGAAGUUUCCCUGCCCACAUCUUUGUAGAGAGUCCAUUCUCCAAGCUUCAGUGUGUCAUCUGUGAGGACCGUGACCCACCUGGUACAUCGCCUCAGGGCAUUCAUUUCAGGCUCCUUCUAAAUGGCCAAGGAUCUUGGAAGCAGAGGGAUCUGCAGAAGUGCUUGCAACACUUUCAGCCUUAACCAGCAUCAGAGACAAAAAUCCUUUCUGGAAUGAGGACCACUGAAGCACAACCACACUUUGGAGCCAGAAGAGGAGCUGAAAUGUCAAUUGGAGAGGACUUUCCUGCUCUAAAAGGUGAGGAAGACAGCACAAGUAACUUGCCAAAGAUAAGUGGCUAAUAAGUGGCAGAGCGAGGGUUUAAAGCAGGCAUGAAGGUGCUGCAGCCCAUGCACUUAGCCCCAACAUCAUGCUGCUCUCUGACUCACCAGCUAACCAAGUAAAUAAACGACAGUGAUGAGGUAAAUAAACAGGAUGAGGUAAAUAAAGAGGCUUACACAGUGCUCUAAAAGGAUGCUUUGAAGGAAGGGAAGAUCCCAACGAACCAGCCAUGAGAAGAACCCUUUACAGAGGGAAUAACAAGUGGCAAAGCUUCCCAAGUGAGGGUGGGGAAGAACCUGAUGGGUUUUGGAACUCAAAGUUUCUUCCUCUAACGUUCACCAAUUUAAUCUUUCCCUACAUAGAGUAAAUUGAGUUCCCCUGCUAUUAACAUUUGUUUUGUGGAUAAGUUAGUCUUUUUCUUUUUAAGAGUAUUAUUUAAACCAUUGAUCACUAAUUUCAUAAGCAAACCUUUGCCUUUUAAUAAAGCCUUUUGUAAAGAC